CACAUGCAAGUCGAGCGGUUGACGGGAGCUUGCUCCCUGAUUCAGCGGCGGACGGGUGAGUAAUGCCUAGGAAUCUGCCUAUUAGUGGGGGACAACGUUUCGAAAGGAACGCUAAUACCGCAUACGUCCUACGGGAGAAAGCAGGGGACCUUCGGGCCUUGCGCUAAUAGAUGAGCCUAGGUCGGAUUAGCUAGUUGGUGGGGUAAAGGCUCACCAAGGCGACGAUCCGUAACUGGUCUGAGAGGAUGAUCAGUCACACUGGAACUGAGACACGGUCCAGACUCCUACGGGAGGCAGCAGUGGGGAAUAUUGGACAAUGGGCGAAAGCCUGAUCCAGCCAUGCCGCGUGUGUGAAGAAGGUCUUCGGAUUGUAAAGCACUUUAAGUUGGGAGGAAGGGUUGUAGAUUAAUACUCUGCAAUUUUUAACGUUACCGACAGAAUAAGCACCGGCUAACUCUGUGCCAGCAGCCGCGGUAAUACAGAGGGUGCAAGCGUUAAUCGGAAUUACUGGGCGUAAAGCGCGCGUAGGUGGU
This 533-nucleotide ribosomal RNA is filed under the name Phytopseudomonas argentinensis. RNAcentral describes it as "bacterial SSU rRNA". It matches the Rfam family "Bacterial small subunit ribosomal RNA", at positions 52 to 579 of the family's 1533-position model. The record is from RNAcentral. Lineage: Bacteria; Pseudomonadati; Pseudomonadota; Gammaproteobacteria; Pseudomonadales; Pseudomonadaceae.